UCAGAGGUUGGAGAAGACAACCGGUGGACUAAACAUCAAGCCUCUGCACGAUUCAGGUAAGUGGAAUAAAAUACAUUGUAAAUAAACAUUAUUAAAACAGAUUGUGAAGUCAUUCAUUCAAAACUUGCUAUGACCUAAGCCUAAAUGACUUAAUUUCUUUUUAGAAUUAAGACAACCUUAGCAGGAGAGCCCCAGCAGUAACUUUCUCUCAAGCAGAUGAGCAAUAAGUUGCUUUGUAUGAACACCACCCUAACAAUCAAGUAGCCUGUUAACAGUAGACCAAAGGUAUGAUGAUCAAUUAUAAAUGCAAUAUGGUUGAAAGGUCAGUAAACAAACAACAAAAAGGUAAUUUCUUAAUAGAAUGUCUAUACAUUUUUUGCUUUUGUUACAUAUUUCAUACAUCAAAAUCAUUAAACGUUAAUAAUUAUGUAUUCCAACUUGUUGCAGCUUGACAAAAUGUAGCUUGAAGGAGAAGGGACAGCUGAGUUACAAAGUCCUGGUACGCAGACGAUGAUACUAUUACACUGACAAGAGUGUAAUGAUGAUGGAGACACAAGCCAGAGAAAGGGGGGACCAAACACCAGGCCAGAAUUCUGCAUGAGUCAGAUCCAGUGGGUGCAGAUCAUCAUACAGAUGGUUCAAGUGUGGAUCCACCUAAUAUUCAAGGUAAAAGAGCAUUUGUU
Molecule: long non-coding RNA, 683 nt
Organism: Paramisgurnus dabryanus
Lineage: Eukaryota; Metazoa; Chordata; Actinopteri; Cypriniformes; Cobitidae
Source: RefSeq, a predicted model, not a curated record